RNAcentral lists this long non-coding RNA (2441 nucleotides) under Sus scrofa (pig). Its description in RNAcentral is "lncRNA (ENSSSCG00025036586.1, ENSSSCG00055002263.1)". Lineage: Eukaryota; Metazoa; Chordata; Mammalia; Artiodactyla; Suidae. The record is from RNAcentral.
CCCAUAAUAAAGUUAUUUUUAUUUGGAUGUCCUUUUCCAUGACUUUGUAAUAUUAAUUAUAGUCAUCAUCAGCCCUAAAUAAAUAGUAAACUUGAAGAGCAUAUGGAUGUUUCAAAAGUAAAAGCUAUAGUGUAUGAGUGACAAACUAUGAGGACAGCAUUAUAAUAAACAAUGCAGUCAGCGGCCUAUGCCAACCAUGACACAGUUCAAUCCCUUGGGUCUAUCAGUCAAACCUCCUGAAGAGAAUUUAAGUCUGGAGAUGUCAUCAGGAUGUCCUGGUCCAUUCGGGCUGCUAUAACAGAAUACCAUAGAUUAGUUGGCUUAUAAAAAACAGAAAUGUAUUUCUCACUGCUUGGAAGACUGGGAAGUCCAAGACCAAGGUGCCAGUAGAUUUGAUGCCUGGUGAUGACCUGAAACUUUGUUCAUAAAUGGGUAUCUUUUGACUGUGUCCUCAUUUGGCAGAACUGGGCUAGCUAAGCUUCAAGGGUCUUUUCUAUAAGGGUACUAAUCUCAUUCAGGAGGGCUCUGUUCUCAUGACUACCUUCCAAAGGCCCUGCCUGCUAAUACUAUCACCUUGAGGACUAGGAUAUGAUCAUAUGCAUUUCGGGGGACACAAAUAUUCAGAACACAACAUGCAGUAAUUUAAAGAGAAGCAAAAUCCUGGCGUCAAGGUUACCUGGUGAAUUGUUUCCAAGUCCUACUAAAUCACAGCUGUAGGAUGGGAGUUCAACUUGGGCCUGGGUAAGCAUCAAACUAAUUGCAGAAACUUAGACUGGCACAGACUUGGGGGUGCUCUUUGAAAAGUGAAUACUGUUAUCAGGUAAUUCACUUGCAUGGCAUGUUACAGGUUCUGAAAAACCAAUCAAUGAUCAGCUUAAUUUUGUUCAAUCUAGUAUUUGAUUAGUUUUUUUUUUACAUGCUGCACCCAUGGCAAAUAUAAGUUCCCAGGCUAGGGGUCAAAUUGGAGCUGCAGUUACCAGCCUACACCACAACCACAGCAACACCAGAUCCAAGCCACAUCUGCAACCUACACCACAGUUCACCUCAAUGCUGGAUCCCUGACCCACUGAGUGAGGCCAGAGAUUGAACCCACAUCCUCAGGGAUACUAAUCAGAUUAGUUUCAACUGUGCCACAACAGGAACUCCUGGUAAGAGCAUCUUUUUUUUCAAGAAAUACUAACAACUCACAUAAAUCAAUAUUCUAGGGCAUUUUAUUUAGCAAUUACUAUUUUUAGAAAUUUGGGGAUAAUUUGGUAACAUAUAUAAGAAAAUAUAAUCUUUGGAGUUCUGGCUGUGGCUCAGCAUUGCUGUGGCUGUGGCUGGCAGCUGAAGCUCCGAUUUGAGACCUAGCCUGUGAACCCCCCAUAUGCUGCAAGUGUGGCCCUAAAUUUUAUAUAUACACACACACACACAAAAUCUUAAAAUGGACACAGGUCAACUUGAUCUUUCUCAAUAAUUUCUAGACACAUUUUUAUAUUGUUGUCCCUAAUGGUAAAAUGGAUAACCUGAACACUUUUAAUCUAAUGUGGUAUCUAAUUGGCUUAUUCUGCUAGGAGACACAGAUGAAAUAAUACUACUUUUAAAACUACAGGAGUUUCCUGAUGGCUCAAUGGGUUAAGGAUGCUGAUGCAGUUGACACUGCAGUGGCUGAGGUCGCUGCUGUGGUAGUUUGUUCCCUGGCCCAGGAACUUCUGAAUGCUGCAGGGCAUGGCCAAAAAAAAAGUAGAAAUGAAUACAAUUUAAAAAGUAAAAGAGUUUCCCCUGUGGCUCAGUGGAUUACGAACCUGAUUAGUAUCCAUAAUGAUGUGGGUUUGAUUCCGGGCCUCGCUCAGUGGGUUAAAAGAUCUAGCAUUGCUGUAAGGUGCGGUGUAGGUUGCAGAUGCAGUUUGGAUCUGGCGUGGCUAUGGUAGAGGCCGGCAGCUGCAGCUCCAAUUUGACUCCUAGCCUGAGAACUUCCAAUAUGCUGCAGGUGCAGCCCUAAAAAGUGGGGGGGGGGAGUUGAAAAAUUUUUCCUCUCCAAUUUCCCAUUAAAAUCAGAAGAUACUUGGAGUUCCCAUUAUGACUCAGGGGGUAAAGGAUCCCAUGUCAUCUAUAUCCCUGGCCUUGCUCAGUGGGUUAAGGACCCAGUGUUGAUGCAAGAUGCAGUGUAUGUCACAGAUGCAGCUCAGAUCUGGUGUUGCUGUGACUGCGGUGUUGGCUGCAGCUUCAGCUCCAAUUUGACCCCGUGGCCCGGGAACUUCUAUAUGCUGCAGGUGUGGCAGAUUAAAAAAAAGGGGGGGGGAUUACAAAAAAAAGAAGAUACUUUUAAUUUUGAAAAGCCUGCUACAAGUUCCUGUCAUGGCACAGUGGAAACAAACCCGACUAGGAACCAUAAGGUUGCAGGUUCGAUCCCUGACCUUGCUCAUGGGUUAAGGAUCUGGUGUUGCAAGGUGCAGCAUAGG